CCAAGGUUCAGCAAUCAAUAAGAUCGCCUAGUCCUCAUUGAGCAUCCAUAAGGAUUUAAGCUCGAAUCCACUAAAUCACCGGCCAAAAACAUCAAUUUCGAGUUACAAAACGAACACAUAGUUCACCUACUCAAACAACCAACGAUCGGCCACUUCUGAAUAAGAAGAACUCACACAAGAGUUCAUACAAAUACACUUUCUCUCAACCAACUAAACGAUCUCACAGGUCAAAGAGAAAACCCAAAAAUUACAGAGAGAAAAAUCGAGAAGAAGCUGCUCGAAAAAUGGCCAAGUCUAAACCGUAGACUUUUGAGCUCCUUUUAAAUGAAAGAAGCCGAUUCAUUUGAUCCAACUGCCUUCAACAUGCGACGCGUCUUGAUCCGGCUGAAGUUGUUAAAACAAAACAGAAACGCUUUUUUAUUUAGCCAUUCCAAAUUCUUCUACUUGUUGGACUAUCAACCCAGGUCAGAUGGAUUGGGCAAACUUUAGAUAUAUAUAUAUAUAUAUAUAUAUAUAUAUAUAUAUAUAUAUAUAUAUAUGGGCUGGACUUCCACGAAGACAGUAACCCAAUCUUACAAUCUCUAUCUUUGCUGUCUUUUGUGCUUGCUCUUUUGUGGAUUCAAAACUCACACACCUUAUUUCAUUUGCUCUUAUUACUUGUAGAAAUAGAAGAAAUCAGUCUUCUUCAAGAUUAAUUAAUCUUAAAGAAUCAACAAACUUACUAAUAGAGAUUACCUUAGUUCCGACAUCUGCUGGAUUUACCUUAGUAGGUAUUUUGAUCAAUCUAAUAUCACCCUUAUCAAUGAUGUCUCUAAUAAAAUGGAAUUUUACAUCUAUAUACUUGGAUCUAUCAUGUAAAAUAGGAUUUUUACGUAGAAAAAUAGCACUUUGGUUGUCUGAACACAGCUCCACCUGAUUUUCUAUAAGUCCUAAUUCACUAAGUAAACCUUUCAACCAUAAACCCUCCUUAACUGUUUCAGUUGCAACAAUGUAUUCAGUUUCAAUUGAAGACAAUGCAACCAAUUUUUGAAGCUGAAAUUUCCAACUAAUGCAUGUAUCAUUUAUAACAUAAAAAUAUGCAAUUGUAGACUUCUUAUUGUCCGGAUUACUAGCAAAAUCUGAAUCUACAUAACCUUUAAGUCUAAAUUCAUUUUUAUUUGUUUUGAACAUUAAACCUAAGUCACUGGUUCCUUUCAAGUAUUUAAUUAGAUUUUUCAUGCAUUGUCAAUGUAUUUCACCUGGGUUACUCAUAAAUCUGCUUAAAACACUCACAUCAUAAGCAAUAUCAAGCCUAGAGCAAACCAUAACAUAUAUAACAGAUCCAACAGCAUUAGAAUAUGGAACACUCAUCAUUCUUUUAUGUUCCUCUUCAGUUUAGGCGAUUGAUCAACAUAUAAUUUCAUUCCAGCAGAUAAAGGCAAACUAGCAGCUUAGAUUCAUGAAGAGAAAACCUUUUUACAACCUUAUCAACAUAAGAUUUUUGUGUUAGAAACAACUUUCCAUUUAUUCUAUCUCUUUUUCUUUCUAGCUAGUCCUAAAUCUUUUAUUUCAAAUUCAGAUUUCAGAUGUUCUUUAAUUGAGUUAAGUGCAACAAAAUUAUGACCAGCAAGAAGUAUAUCAUCAACAUACAAAAGCAGAUAAAGAAAAUCAGAUUCACCUUCUUUCUUAUAAUAGAAACAGGAAUCAUAUUCAGAUUUCUUGAAGUUCAAACCUUGUAUAAAAGAGUCAAAUCUUUUAUAUCACUGCCUAGGGGCCUGUUUUAGGCUAUACAAGGAUUUCUUUAAGAGACACACUAAGUUUCCCUUUCCUACCAUUUCAAACCCUCUUGGUUGAGUCAUAUGUAUGGUUUCAUCUAAAGAACCAUACAAGAAGGCAGUUUUCACAUCGAGUUGUUCUAAUUCCAAGUCAAAUUGUGUCACUAUAGCAAGUAGGACUCUAAUGGAUGUAUAUUUAACAACUAGUGAAAAUAUUUUGUUGCAAUAUAUCCCUUCCCUUUGGUUAAAGCCUUUAGCUACAAGUCUUGCAUUAAACCUUUUAUCAAUAGCUUUAGUCUCACCCUCUUUAAUUUUAUAAACCCAUUUACAAUCAAACAAUUUACAAUCUUUGGGUUUUUCAACUAAAGUCCAGGUCUCAUUUUUAAAGAGUCAGUUCAUUUCAUCUUCCAUCGCAACAAUCCACUUGGGGGAUUCUUUGGAAGAA
RNAcentral lists this long non-coding RNA (2199 nucleotides) under Olea europaea subsp. europaea. Lineage: Eukaryota; Viridiplantae; Streptophyta; Magnoliopsida; Lamiales; Oleaceae. The record is from RNAcentral.